GGGAUAGAAUUCCAGGAGUAGCGGUGAAAUGCGUAGAUAUCUGGAGGAAUACCAAAGGCGAAGGCAGUCCCCUGGUCCGAUACUGACACUGAGGUACGAAAGCGUGGGGAGCAAACAGGAUUAGAUACCCUGGUAGUCCACGCCCUAAACGAUGUCGAUUAGCCAUUGGAAGGACCCCUUUUCCUUUCAGUGACGUAGCUAACGCGUUAAAUCGACCGCCUGGGAAGUACGACCGCAAGGUUAAAACUCAAAGGAAUUGACGGGGACCUGAACAAGCGGUGAAUGAUGUGGAUUAAUUCGAUGCUACGCGAAGAACCUUACCUACCUUUGACAUGGCCAAAGUUCUACCGAGAGGCGGAAGUACUCGUAAGAGGAUUGGCGCACAGGUGCUGCAUGGUUGUCGUCAGUUCGUGUCGUGAGAUGUUGGGUUCAGUCCCGCAACGAACGCAACCCUUAUCUUUAAUUGCUCCUAUUUUAACAGGCACUUUAAAGAAACUGCCAAUGAUAAGUUGGAGGAAGGUGGGGAUCACGUCAAGUCCGCAUGGCCUUUAUAGGUAGGGCUUCACAUGUCAUACAAUGGUUAGAACAAAGAGCUGCAAAUUCGUAAGAAGGAGCCAAUCUCACAAACCUAACCUCAGUUCGAAUUGCGGUCUGCAACUCGAGCGCAUGAAGCCGGAAUCGCUAGUAAUCGUGGAUCAGAAUGCCACGGUGAAUACGUUCUUAGGUCUU
This 729-nucleotide ribosomal RNA is filed under the name Candidatus Tremblayella phenacoccinincola. RNAcentral describes it as "bacterial SSU rRNA". It matches the Rfam family "Bacterial small subunit ribosomal RNA", at positions 658 to 1382 of the family's 1533-position model. The record is from RNAcentral. Lineage: Bacteria; Pseudomonadati; Pseudomonadota; Betaproteobacteria.